GACGAACGCUGGCGGCGUGCUUAACACAUGCAAGUCGAACGGUAAGGCCCUUCGGGGUUCACGAGUGGCGAACGGGUGAGUAACACGUGGGUGAUCUGCCCUGCACUUCGGGAUAAGCCUGGGAAACUGGGUCUAAUACCGGAUAGGACCACUGCCUGCAUGGGUGGUGGUGGAAAGCUUUUGCGGUGUGGGAUGGGCCCGCGGCCUAUCAGCUUGUUGGUGGGGUGAUGGCCUACCAAGGCGACGACGGGUAGCCGGCCUGAGAGGGUGUCCGGCCACACUGGGACUGAGAUACGGCCCAGACUCCUACGGGAGGCAGCAGUGGGGAAUAUUGCACAAUGGGCGCAAGCCUGAUGCAGCGACGCCGCGUGAGGGAUGACGGCCUUCGGGUUGUAAACCUCUUUCAGCACCGACGAAGCGCAAGUGACGGUAGGUGCAGAAGAAGGACCGGCCAACUACGUGCCAGCCGCCGCAGUAA
This 478-nucleotide ribosomal RNA is filed under the name uncultured bacterium. Its description in RNAcentral is "partial 16S ribosomal RNA". It matches the Rfam family "Bacterial small subunit ribosomal RNA", at positions 28 to 523 of the family's 1533-position model. The record is from RNAcentral.